AUUCUUGUCAAUUGGAUUGCUACCCAUUUGGUCAGAUCUUUUCAACUCUUAACUUUUAAUUUUGUAAAUAGGAUAGUUUCUUCAUCUUCUCCCCACUUCUUUAUUUUCAAAAUAUCUCCCUCUUUUUCAAAACCUUCUUUUAUUGAACUUAUUUUGUUCUAAACUUUGACACUUUGCAAAAAAAAGAAAAAGAAACUUUGGCCUUAUGCCAAUGCAUUUUCAAGUUUCUUUUCUUAAAUCAAAC
RNAcentral lists this long non-coding RNA (244 nucleotides) under Lathyrus oleraceus (garden pea). RNAcentral describes it as "Pisum sativum (pea) long non-coding RNA (PSAT_LNC008928)". Lineage: Eukaryota; Viridiplantae; Streptophyta; Magnoliopsida; Fabales; Fabaceae. The record is from RNAcentral.